Ixodes scapularis (black-legged tick) is the source of this 819-nucleotide long non-coding RNA. RefSeq lists it as uncharacterized. The record is from RefSeq and is a predicted model, not a curated record. Lineage: Eukaryota; Metazoa; Arthropoda; Arachnida; Ixodida; Ixodidae. The transcript has 4 exons.
UCGUGCUGUCGGCAUCGGGUACUACAAACGAUGGCAUCACUCUAAACAGAAGGACAUCUAGGCGCCUAGCUUAGUUAUGACAGCCUUGCAUCGACUCUCUUUUUUGGGCACAGCAAGCUUCUCGGGCUUGCUUUGCGCAGUUUCGACUAACAAUGCAGUAAAUCGUUUCUAAAUUUCUAAUGGAGGCAUAUAUCAUGCAGGAGAAGCAACCGCGGCCAAAUUUAAGAAUGUCAGGCACCGCUGGUUGAAGAUUGUUUCCGGCGUGGAAAAACCGAGGAGCGGCUCCAGCGGAAAUGUUGGGAAAGUAAAAACAAAGUGGAUUUUAUUUGACGUGAUCAACGUUCUUAAGAACACGCCGCACUACGCUGAAAGGUAAUGUGUAACUAUGGUGCUCAUGUGACCGUGUGAAAUGAUUGCGUCUAAUUUGAGAGGGUACAUUUUUCGUUUUAUUAAGGACCGCCACAAACUUGCCGGUUGAGGAAUAUAGGUAUGAUGCUGUAUUUUUCUUUUCCUCUCUGCUACGUUUUACCCUAGAAAAAUCCUUUAUAAACUUACGAAUUUCACUGCCCCAGCGUUUUUGUUAAGCAAGGCUUAUACUACUGUUAUGCAGGGACACAGAGCAGCCCUCCACAUCCAGUUCGACUGCAGCAAGUCUUGACCUCGCAGAGAGCUGUCCCCUGAGCCCUGCUAAGGUUGUUUUUGAAGCAAUUAAAUAAUCCAGGUACUCCAAUGGCCCUGCUCUCUUGCUAUCAAAGGAAAACAGCCCAAGCAUCUAUGAACACCCAGGCACGGGAGCCGAUGUAGGUCCUUCACGGUAAG